Molecule: transfer RNA, 77 nt
Filed under: candidate division WWE3 bacterium CG10_big_fil_rev_8_21_14_0_10_32_10
Lineage: Bacteria; candidate division WWE3
Description: tRNA-His
Rfam family: tRNA
About the family: Transfer RNA (tRNA) molecules are approximately 80 nucleotides in length.
Source: RNAcentral
GUGGGUGUAGCUCAAUUGGUUAGAGCGCCGCUCUGUGGAAGCGGAGGUUGUGGGUUCAAUCCCCAUCACUCACCCCA